RNAcentral lists this transfer RNA (72 nucleotides) under Camelus bactrianus (Bactrian camel). It matches the Rfam family "tRNA". From Rfam's summary of the family: Transfer RNA (tRNA) molecules are approximately 80 nucleotides in length. Their secondary structure includes four short double-helical elements and three loops (D, anti-codon, and T loops). Further hydrogen bonds mediate the characteristic L-shaped molecular structure. tRNAs have two regions of fundamental functional importance: the anti-codon, which is responsible for specific mRNA codon recognition, and the 3' end, to which the tRNAs corresponding amino acid is attached (by aminoacyl-tRNA synthetases). tRNAs cope with the degeneracy of the genetic code in two manners: having more than one tRNA (with a specific anti-codon) for a particular amino acid; and 'wobble' base-pairing, i.e. permitting non-standard base-pairing at the 3rd anti-codon position. Lineage: Eukaryota; Metazoa; Chordata; Mammalia; Artiodactyla; Camelidae. RNAcentral also lists the same sequence under 2 other names. The record is from Rfam by way of RNAcentral.
GAGGGUAUAGCUCAGUGGGGGAGUGCACACCCAGCGUGCAUGCGGGCCUGGGUUCAAUUCCUAGUAUCUCCA